RNAcentral lists this ribosomal RNA (460 nucleotides) under uncultured bacterium. RNAcentral describes it as "partial 16S ribosomal RNA". It matches the Rfam family "Bacterial small subunit ribosomal RNA", at positions 338 to 795 of the family's 1533-position model. The record is from RNAcentral.
CCUACGGGAGGCAGCAGUGAGGAAUAUUGGUCAAUGGACGAGAGUCUGAACCAGCCAAGUAGCGUGAAGGAUGACUGCCCUCUGGGUUGUAAACUUCUUUUAUAAAGGAAUAAAACGAGGCACGUGUGCCUUUUUGCAUGUACUUUAUGAUUAAGGAUCGGCUAACUCCGUGCCAGCAGCCGCGGUAAUACGGAGGAUCCGAGCGUUAACCGGAUUUAGUCGGUUUAAAGGGAGCGUAGAUGGGUUGUUAAGUCAGUUGUGAAAGUUUGCGGCUCAACCGUAAAAUUGCAAUUGAUACUGGCAGUCUUGAGUACAGGAGAGGUAGGUGGAAUUCGUGGUGUAGCGGUGAAAUGCGUAGAUAUCACGAAGAACCCCGAUUGCGAAGGCAGCUUACUAAACUGUGACUGACAUUGAUGCUCGAAAGUGUGGGUAGCAAACAGGAUUAGAUACCCCAGUAGUC